GCAAUGGCAGAGGGCACUGUGAUGAUAAUGAAAUCAAAACAAGAAGGAGUUUGCCGAUGCCUGAAUAUAUAAUAAACUGGACUGAUUAGCUCUAUCUUUGGCUUCAUUGGAAAUUCAGCCCUUUCUGUCUACAAAGAUAAGCUGGGGACAAGACCCAUGGCUGUUUGGGGAGGCAGGUACGUGUCCACGUCUGGCAAGAAGAAUACAGUGCAGAACAUCUUAUUGUACGGUACUCACCCUUCGUGCAAUGAUGCGAGGUGAUACAACGUCUACGCCAGGAGACGAAGCGAGGUGGCCGGCGUGGGCGCUAUGGCGCGGCGUUAGGCUGCUACUGACCGUCUGCCAAUUUGUCGGCCGCAGGAUCGAUCCCCUGCUUCCCGACUGCGCUUGGCUGCAGGUACCCGAGACCGCAGAGUGCGAAACCCCAGCUGAAGGACCACUGUCGUUUGCUUCACGCGCUCAAUCUUCUUUCUUUGAUGGAGAUCAAGAGUCUAGAUCUAACACGCACACAUGGAAUGAGAAAAGUGGGCAGUUACACAACUGCGUAUUUGCCCGUGGAAAGGGCCGUCCCGGGAACCUAACAGAAGUCCUGCGGGCCCGUAGGAACAUUCGCUGACUCCUUUCCACGCACGCUGCUGGU
Molecule: long non-coding RNA, 640 nt
Organism: Hyaena hyaena (striped hyena)
Lineage: Eukaryota; Metazoa; Chordata; Mammalia; Carnivora; Hyaenidae
Exons: 3
Source: RefSeq, a predicted model, not a curated record